Molecule: ribosomal RNA, 164 nt
Filed under: uncultured bacterium
Lineage: Bacteria
Description: partial 16S rRNA
Rfam family: Bacterial small subunit ribosomal RNA
Source: RNAcentral
UAGGGAGUCUUCCACAAUGGACGCAAGUCUGAUGGAGCAACGCCGCGUGAGUGAAGAAGGUUUUCGGAUCGUAAAGCUCUGUUGUUGGUGAAGAAGGAUAGAGGCAGUAACUGGUCUUUAUUUGACGGUAAUCAACCAGAAAGUCACGGCUAACUACGCGCCAG